UCGCUUUCCUAAGUACUAGUGCCGCAGGAGUUAGGUUCGUGUCCGCAAUACCUCCUGCUGCCCAAGUGCUUAUUAAAGCGG
This is a non-coding RNA of Drosophila ananassae, 81 nucleotides long. The record is from Rfam. Lineage: Eukaryota; Metazoa; Arthropoda; Insecta; Diptera; Drosophilidae.